GAGACAGACUAUUGCUCCGUCACCUAGGUUGGAGUGCAGUGGCAUGGUCACAGCUAACUCCAGCCCUCUUGGGUUUAAGCUAUCCUCCUGCCUCAGCCUCCUGAUUAGUGGGGACCAGAGGUGUGAGCCACACUCUUGACUAAUUUUUUAAUUGUUUGACGGGGUCUCACUACUUUGCCCAGGGACUUACUGGCUUGAGGGAAACUUAUCUUCCUAAAUAGCCUCACAAAACCCAGUGGGGUAUGACCAGGACAGGAUUGAGGAAUCACAGGGGAUUCAGUGGGCAGAGUCCCUGUUGUGGUGUGUUGGCCGAAGUUCACAUGUGGGCACGGAGAUAAAUGUGCAUGAACUUCUCUGAGGAACAACUACCUCAUAAUAAUAAUAGCCACCAUUUAUUGAGCACAUACUUUUACCAUGCUGAGGACUUUACAUGCAUUAAUUAAAACAACUCAUAUUUACUGAGUACUAACUAAUGUGACAGAUGCUGUUCUAAGCGCUUUCCAAGCCAUAACUCAUUCAUUAAUCACAAACUACUCUAUAAGAUUUAUUAUCAGUAGGUCUCAUGUCUGUUUUCUAGUCUACUAUGCUUUCUCUAUUUACGGCAGCUUUAAUUUGGUUAAACUUUAUUUAGAUUCUGUUGUGAGGUGGGCACUGUAAUAAAUACUGUGGAGAUUCCAAGGAGGAAAAAGACCUGAUCCCUAUUGUAGCACUAAGAAAGGACCUUGUAAUGCCAACCUCAUAUGGAAUCUGUUCCUAAGAAUUGCUACAAAACGUUGUACAGGGUAGGGGAAGACUUAGAGGAAGGUAUCUGAUUCAUUUCAUGCAUCCAAAUUCUGCCUUACAUAACAGGGUGCUUUACGUGUUAACUGGGGUUCAGACUAUCCUUUACGCCAGGAGUCAGCAAGUUUUUUCUUUAAAGGGCCAGAUAGUAAAUAUUUCCAUCUUUGCUGGCCACACAGUUUCUGUUGCAACCAUUCAGAUCUGCCAUUGUGGCAAGAAAUAAGUCAUAGACAAUAUGUAAACAAAUGGCUCUGGUUGUGUUCCAAUAAAACUUUAUUUAUAAAAUAUGCAACUGAAUGGAUUUGGCCUGGGAGCCAUAGUUUGACAACCUCCGCUUUAGGCACUGGGAAGUCAUUGGUGGUUUUUGAGCAGGAGGCUCUUGAUUAGGUUGUUUUUCAGAGGAGGCUUUGUUUGCUGACACAUUGCCGUGUCCCUUCUCUGAACUUAGUAAUAAUAACCUUUACUGUUUACACCACACUUUACAACUUAUAAAGCAUUUUCAAAUCCC
RNAcentral lists this long non-coding RNA (1288 nucleotides) under Homo sapiens (human). RNAcentral's name for it is "HSALNT0330859". The record is from RNAcentral. Lineage: Eukaryota; Metazoa; Chordata; Mammalia; Primates; Hominidae.